CUUUGUUGAGUUUGUAUCCGUGGUUGAGUCUAAUUGUUGGUUUUGAUUGUGUUCGUCGUCGUAGUUCAUCUGCACCAUUGUUGUUCUUAGUUUCCACCGCUACCCCAUCCGCUGUUUCGAAACAACAAGUCGAAGCCACCACAUUACUUGACUUACCUACACUAACCACCUUGUGUGAUCUCUCGCCGCCGCGCUAACCCUAGAUAGAUUGUCAGCCGCUGUUACUUUGCCUGCUUCGCAGCCCUCCUUACAUCAUCAGGUGAAUACUACUGCUGUUAGUCACAGGGACGAUUCAUCCGGUGAUCGAUGUUAGAGUUUAGGGACGCUUUGCCCUAACUGCCGCCGCCGCCGCCAUGUUAUAUCUUCUGGAAAAAAACAUAACUUGAGAUAGCUUCGGUAAAACAGGCAUAACUUUUCGCUCGUUUAUGAGAAAAAUCUGAAAUUUUUACAGCAGUUUCUUGACACCAUUUGGACUUGACCCAAACUGGGCAAAGCCCUGUUGGUCUCAUCAAAAUUUCCAAAAAAAUUAGUGAAAUAAAGAAAAAAAUUGACAAGGGUUUUGCAUGCUUUUUAGAGAACUUGCUGAAUUUCUGUAGACCACAUCUGACCUC
Molecule: long non-coding RNA, 611 nt
Filed under: Sorghum bicolor (sorghum)
Lineage: Eukaryota; Viridiplantae; Streptophyta; Magnoliopsida; Poales; Poaceae
Description: long non-coding RNA (SBIC_LNC012723)
Source: RNAcentral